This 645-nucleotide ribosomal RNA is filed under the name uncultured bacterium. RNAcentral's name for it is "bacterial SSU rRNA". It matches the Rfam family "Bacterial small subunit ribosomal RNA", at positions 202 to 842 of the family's 1533-position model. The record is from RNAcentral.
CAAAGGAAGCGAUUCCGGCAACGGAUGGGCAUGCGUGACAUUAGCUAGUUGGCGGGGCAACGGCCCACCAAGGCGACGAUGUCUAGGGGUUCUGAGAGGAAGGUCCCCCACACUGGUACUGAGACACGGACCAGACUCCUACGGGAGGCAGCAGUGAGGAAUAUUGGUCAAUGGGCGCGAGCCUGAACCAGCCAAGUCGCGUGAGGGAUGACGGCCCUACGGGUUGUAAACCUCUUUUGUCGGGGAGCAAAUUCCGCCACGUGUGGCGGAGUCGAGAGUACCCGAAGAAAAAGCAUCGGCUAACUCCGUGCCAGCAGCCGCGGUAAUACGGAGGAUGCGAGCGUUAUCCGGAUUUAUUGGGUUUAAAGGGUGCGUAGGCGGACUGUCAAGUCAGCGGUAAAAUACGGGGGCUCAACCUCCGCCCGCCGUUGAAACUGACGGUCUUGAGUGGGCGAGAAGUAUGCGGAAUGCGUGGUGUAGCGGUGAAAUGCAUAGAUAUCACGCAGAACUCCGAUUGCGAAGGCAGCAUACCGGCGCCCAACUGACGCUGAAGCACGAAAGCGUGGGUAUCGAACAGGAUUAGAUACCCUGGUGGUCCACGCAGUAAACGAUGAAUACUAGCUGUCCGGGGCGAAUGAGCCCUGG